RNAcentral lists this long non-coding RNA (401 nucleotides) under Mytilus galloprovincialis (Mediterranean mussel). Lineage: Eukaryota; Metazoa; Mollusca; Bivalvia; Mytilida; Mytilidae. The record is from RNAcentral.
UUUUAUCAACAGAUGGACCGUUUACUGAAAAAGCAAAAUGUACGAAAACGUCACCAUGCGACGUCAUCAAAACGUCAUCUUUUUAAAAUUAGCAAAUACAAUAUAUUAUAAGUAUCCAUUUCGUAAAAUAUGAAGAGUAAGCAUGGAUAAAUAUCCAAUUGUUCAAAAUAUUUGAAGAAAUUAAACAAAAGCCCGGUUAUUAGACUUUUGACGAUGUGAAUCUAAGCAUGGAUGCAAUUUGGGUACUCCUCAUUACAGAAUCAUGGAUGGUUUGGAGGUUGAUUCAAACCCAUUUUUCAAUGACUCAAUAUGGAUUAAAAUUUAAAUUGGUGUACCUAUACAAUCAAGAAGGAUAGGGCUACAAAAUAAACACAGUAUGGACAUUUUUUCUUGAUCAUAAA